This is a non-coding RNA of Acanthosepion pharaonis, 113 nucleotides long. NCBI's taxonomy places the organism in Eukaryota, Metazoa, Mollusca, Cephalopoda, Sepiida, Sepiidae. The record is from the annotation of a GenBank genome assembly.
UUACGAUUAUAUCACAUUGAAACGCCGCUGCUCAAACGAUCACCGAAGUUAAGCAACGUCGAGCCUGGGCAUUACCUACAUGGGUGAUUGCUUGGGAAUACCAGCUGCUGUAA